GACGGAGGAGGCAAGCGUUAUCCGGAAUUAUUGGGCGUAAAGGGUGCGUAGGCGGCUGGUCAAGUCUGGGGUCAAAGGCCACAGCUCAACUGUGGAAAGGCCCUGGAAACUGACCGGCUAGAGUGAGGUAGGGGUUGCGGGAAUUCCCGGUGUAGCGUUGAAAUGCGUAGAGAUCGGGAAGAACACCUGAGGCGGAAGCGCGCAACUGGGCCUCAACUGACGCUGAGGUACGAAAGCUAGGGGAGCGAAUGGG
Molecule: ribosomal RNA, 253 nt
Filed under: uncultured bacterium
Lineage: Bacteria
Description: partial 16S ribosomal RNA
Rfam family: Bacterial small subunit ribosomal RNA
Source: RNAcentral